GCCGCUGUGGUGGAAUCGGCAGACACAAGGGACUUAAAAUCCCUCGAAGUAACAUUCGUACCGGUUCAAGUCCGGUCAGCGGCACCA
This 87-nucleotide transfer RNA is filed under the name Candidatus Merdivicinus excrementipullorum. RNAcentral's name for it is "tRNA-Leu". It matches the Rfam family "tRNA". From Rfam's summary of the family: Transfer RNA (tRNA) molecules are approximately 80 nucleotides in length. Their secondary structure includes four short double-helical elements and three loops (D, anti-codon, and T loops). The record is from RNAcentral. Lineage: Bacteria; Bacillati; Bacillota; Clostridia; Eubacteriales; Oscillospiraceae.